UCGACCGCCUGGGGAGUACGGCCGCAAGGUUAAAACUCAAAUGAAUUGACGGGGGCCCGCACAAGCGGUGGAGCAUGUGGUUUAAUUCGAUGCAACGCGAAGAACCUUACCUGGUCUUGACAUCCACGGAAGUUUUCAGAGAUGAGAAUGUGCCUUCGGGAACCGUGAGACAGGUGCUGCAUGGCUGUCGUCAGCUCGUGUUGUGAAAUGUUGGGUUAAGUCCCGCAACGAGCGCAACCCUUAUCCUUUGUUGCCAGCGGUCCGGCCGGGAACUCAAAGGAGACUGCCAGUGAUAAACUGGAGGAAGGUGGGGAUGACGUCAAGUCAUCAUGGCCCUUACGACCAGGGCUACACACGUGCUACAAUGGCGCAUACAAAGAGAAGCGACCUCGCGAGAGCAAGCGGACCUCAUAAAGUGCGUCGUAGUCCGGAUUGGAGUCUGCAACUCGACUCCAUGAAGUCGGAAUCGCUAGUAAUCGUGGAUCAGAAUGCCACGGUGAAUACGUUCCCGGGCCUUGUACACACCGCCCGUCACACCAUGGGAGUGGGUUGCAAAAGAAGUAGGUAGCUUAACCUUCGGGAGGGCGCUUACCACUUUGUGAUUCAUGACUGGGGUGAAGUCGUAACAAGGUAACCGUAGGGGAACCUGCGGUUGGAUCACCUCCUU
RNAcentral lists this ribosomal RNA (667 nucleotides) under Escherichia coli. RNAcentral's name for it is "bacterial SSU rRNA". It matches the Rfam family "Bacterial small subunit ribosomal RNA", at positions 865 to 1532 of the family's 1533-position model. The record is from RNAcentral. Lineage: Bacteria; Pseudomonadati; Pseudomonadota; Gammaproteobacteria; Enterobacterales; Enterobacteriaceae.